UGCAAGUCGAGCGAAUGAYGAGAAGCUUGCUUCUCUGAUUUAGCGGCGGACGGGUGAGUAACACGUGGGCAACCUGCCCUGUAGACUGGGAUAACUUCGGGAAACCGGAGCUAAUACCGGAUAAUUCUUUUAGCCUCAUGGCUUUAAGCUAAAAGGCGCUUCGGCGUCACUACAGGAUGGGCCCGCGGUGCAUUAGCUAGUUGGUGGGGUAACGGCCUACCAAGGCAACGAUGCAUAGCCGACCUGAGAGGGUGAUCGGCCACAUUGGGACUGAGACACGGCCCAAACUCCUACGGGAGGCAGCAGUAGGGAAUCUUCCACAAUGGACGAAAGUCUGAUGGAGCAACGCCGCGUGAGUGAUGAAGGUUUUCGGAUCGUAAAACUCUGUUGUAAGGGAAGAACAAGUGCGUUAGGUAAUGAACGCACCUUGACGGUACCUUAUUAGAAAGCCACGGCUAACUACGUGCCAGCAGCCGCGGUAAUACGUAGGUGGCAAGCGUUGUCCGGAUUUAUUGGGCGUAAAGCGCGCGCAGGUGGUUUCUUAAGUCUGAUGUGAAAGCCCACGGCUCAACCGUGGAGGGUCAUUGGAAACUGGGAGACUUGAGUGCAGAAGAGGAUAGUGGAAUUCCAAGUGUAGCGGUGAAAUGCGUAGAGAUUUGGAGGAACACCAGUGGCGAAGGCGACUGUCUGGUCUGUAACUGACACUGAGGCGCGAAAGCGUGGGGAGCAAACAGGAUUAGAUACCCUGGUAGUCCACGCCGUAAACGAUGAGUGCUAAGUGUUAGGGGGUUUCCGCCCCUUAGUGCUGCAGCUAACGCAUUAAGCACUCCGCCUGGGGAGUACGACCGCAAGGUUGAAACUCAAAGGAAUUGACGGGGGCCCGCACAAGCGGUGGAGCAUGUGGUUUAAUUCGAAGCAACGCGAAGAACCUUACCAGGUCUUGACAUCCCAAUGACCGUCUUAGAAGAUAAGAUUUUCCCUUCGGGGACAUUGGUGACAGGUGGGUGCAUGGUUGUCGUCAGCUCGUGUCGUGAGAUGUUGGGGUUAAGUCCCGCAACGAGCGCAACCCUUUAUUCUUAGUUGCCAUCAUUU
RNAcentral lists this ribosomal RNA (1092 nucleotides) under Kurthia sp. 504B2_12EMRSA. Its description in RNAcentral is "bacterial SSU rRNA". It matches the Rfam family "Bacterial small subunit ribosomal RNA", at positions 56 to 1126 of the family's 1533-position model. Lineage: Bacteria; Bacillati; Bacillota; Bacilli; Caryophanales; Caryophanaceae. The record is from RNAcentral.